AGAAUCAGAGGUUCCUGCAACUUAUUCUUUUAUCUUUCAAUGCCCCUUGGCAAUCAUUAUUCCACCUGACCGUUUGAUAUCUUUUUUUUCCAACAGCUUGAAUGGGGCUGUUAGAUGAGAUAUGAACCGUGAAAUGCAGUUCAAUCUAUCUAAGAAACCACGAACCUUCUUUUCUGUUCUCGGUUCAGGCGUUUCUUGUAUCGCUUUUUUCCUUUUCUUUUUUCCCCUUUUUUUUUAGCAGGAUCGAC
This 248-nucleotide long non-coding RNA is filed under the name Lathyrus oleraceus (garden pea). RNAcentral's name for it is "Pisum sativum (pea) long non-coding RNA (PSAT_LNC011287)". Lineage: Eukaryota; Viridiplantae; Streptophyta; Magnoliopsida; Fabales; Fabaceae. The record is from RNAcentral.